UGUUGUAGUCAUAUGCUUGUUUCAAAGAUUAAGCCAUGCAUGUUUAAGUUUAAGCAAUCUAUACUGUGAAACUGCGAAUGGCUCAUUAAAUCAGUUAUAGUUUAUUUGAUAGUACCUUUACCUGGAUAACCGUGGUAAUUCUAGAGCUAAUACAUGCCAAAAACCCCGACUCCGGAAGGGGUGUAUUUAUUAGAUAAAAAACCAAUGCCCUCCGGGGCUCCUUGGUGAUUCAUGAUAACUUAACGAAUCGCAUGGCCUUGCGCCGGCGAUGGUUCAUUCAAAUUUCUGCCCUAUCAACUUCGAUGUG
This 307-nucleotide ribosomal RNA is filed under the name uncultured fungus. RNAcentral's name for it is "SSU rRNA". It matches the Rfam family "Eukaryotic small subunit ribosomal RNA", at positions 21 to 329 of the family's 1831-position model. Lineage: Eukaryota; Fungi. The record is from RNAcentral.